GAUGAACGCUGACAGAAUGCUUAACACAUGCAAGUCAACUUGAAUUUGGGUUUUUUAACUUAGAUUUGGGUGGCGGACGGGUGGGUAACGCGUAAAGAACUUGCCUCACAGCUAGGGACAACAUUUGGAAACGAAUGCUAAUACCUGAUAUUAUGAUUAUAAGGCAUCUUAGAAUUAUGAAAGCUAUAUGCGCUGUGAGAGAGCUUUGCGUUCCAUUAGCUAGUUGGAGAGGUAACGGCUCACCAAGGCGAUGAUGGGUAGCCGGCCUGAGAGGGUGAACGGCCACAAGGGGACUGAGACACGGCCCUUACUCCUACGGGAGGCAGCAGUGGGGAAUAUUGGACAAUGGACCAAGAGUCUGAUCCAGCAAUUCUGUGUGCACGAUGACGUUUUUCGGAAUGUAAAGUGCUUUCAGUUGGGAAGAAAAAAAUGACGGUACCAACAGAAGAAGUGACGGCUAAAUACGUG
This 468-nucleotide ribosomal RNA is filed under the name uncultured bacterium. RNAcentral describes it as "partial 16S ribosomal RNA". It matches the Rfam family "Bacterial small subunit ribosomal RNA", at positions 28 to 507 of the family's 1533-position model. The record is from RNAcentral.